This 406-nucleotide ribosomal RNA is filed under the name uncultured bacterium. RNAcentral describes it as "partial 16S ribosomal RNA". It matches the Rfam family "Bacterial small subunit ribosomal RNA", at positions 29 to 526 of the family's 1533-position model. The record is from RNAcentral.
AUCGAACGCUGGCGGCAGGCUUAACACAUGCAAGUCGAACGAGUGGCGGACGGGCGAGUAAUGCUUGGGAAUCUAGCUUACGGAGGGGGAUAACUACGGGAAACCGUAGCUACUACCGCGUACCAUAGGAUGAGCCCAAGUGGGAUGAGGUAGUUGGUGAGGCAAAGGCAAACCAAGCCGACGAUCUCUAGCUGGUCUGAGAGGAUGACCGGCCACACUGGGACUGAGACACGGCCCAGACUCCUACGGGAGGCAGCAGUGGGGAAUAUUGCGCAAUGGGCGCAAGCCUGAUGCAGCCAUGCCGCGUGUAUGAAGAAGGCCUUAGGGUUGUAAAGUACUGUCGGCGGGGAGGCGUUACCCGCAGAGGAAGCACCGGCUAACUCCGUGCCAGCAGCCGCGGUAAUAC